RNAcentral lists this long non-coding RNA (605 nucleotides) under Trifolium pratense (red clover). Its description in RNAcentral is "long non-coding RNA (TPRA_LNC004909)". The record is from RNAcentral. Lineage: Eukaryota; Viridiplantae; Streptophyta; Magnoliopsida; Fabales; Fabaceae.
GAUAAAAUAUGGAGUAAUAUUGUUUUAGUGUCAAACCAUGAAAGUUAAACUCAACAUAUUUAUCACUUUUCAUAAUUUAUUUCUUAGUUAUUAAAAAACACAUAUGUUCACAUUUCUGUCGUGGUGUGCAUGAGCACAUCCAUCAAAUCUUGACUUGAGAAGGAUAUUUUUUGUGCUUUCAUUUUUGGGUUAGAGGAUAAUUUUUUGGUGCCUCUCAGAAAAGUGACUAAUGGGUGAUUUCCAUGUGUAGGUAGUCCCACAAAUAGAAAAUGAAAGCAAAGGUGCAGCUUAUAAUAGUGACAGUGAUAAAGGAGCAGAAAAUUAGUACCUCUUAUACCACAAAAGAUCCACGUUUAACUUUGUAUUUAACUUAAUCCAAAAGUUAUCAAAAAAUCUUUAUUCAACUCUUAAAAAUAUUGAAAUUGUUAGGUUGGACUUCAUGAUCGAGAUUUGAAUCAUAUUCCCUCUAUUUUAUAUGUAUGAGUUAUCAAUAACUUAUUAUUUCUCUUAUCUAUUAAAGAAAAAAACUUCUUACAAAGUUUAUAGUUCUCAUAUAUAUUUUAUUUAGUCUCUCCCUUAGAUAUUUCUUGUCAUUUAAGUUUUUU